GGCAUCAUGGUGUAGUGGAAUCACACCUGUCUUACACACAGGAGGCCCCCAGAUCGAAACUGGGUGAUGUCA
Volvox carteri f. nagariensis is the source of this 72-nucleotide transfer RNA. It matches the Rfam family "tRNA". Rfam says of the family: Transfer RNA (tRNA) molecules are approximately 80 nucleotides in length. Their secondary structure includes four short double-helical elements and three loops (D, anti-codon, and T loops). Lineage: Eukaryota; Viridiplantae; Chlorophyta; Chlorophyceae; Chlamydomonadales; Volvocaceae. The record is from Rfam.